RNAcentral lists this ribosomal RNA (498 nucleotides) under uncultured bacterium. Its description in RNAcentral is "partial 16S ribosomal RNA". It matches the Rfam family "Bacterial small subunit ribosomal RNA", at positions 28 to 507 of the family's 1533-position model. The record is from RNAcentral.
GAUGAACGCUGGCGGCGUGCCUAAUACAUGCAAGUCGAGCGAACAGAUAAGGAGCUUGCUCCUUUGAAGUUAGCGGCGGACGGGUGAGUAACACGUGGGUAACCUACCUAUAAGACUGGGAUAACUUCGGGAAACCGGAGCUAAUACCGGAUAACAUUUAGAACCGCAUGGUUCUAAAGUGAAAGAUGGUUUUGCUAUCACUUAUAGAUGGACCCGCGCCGUAUUAGCUAGUUGGUAAGGUAACGGCUUACCAAGGCGACGAUACGUAGCCGACCUGAGAGGGGGGGGGGGCGACAUGGGAGUGUGACACGCCACAAGAGUCCAGGGGGAGGGACAAGAGGGAAACGGGCGGGAGGGGUGGAAAACCUGGCAGAAAAGGCGGGAGGGAGAAGCAGAGGUUUCGGGUGAGGAAAACCGGUUUUUGGGGGAAAAACAAAUGUGAGAAUAGAAGAACCGAACGUGACGGUACCUAAAGAAAAAGCCACGGCUAACUACGGG